GGUUAAGCUACUAAGAGCACACGGAGGAUGCCUUGGCGCCAGGAGCCGACGAAGGACGGGACGAACACCGAUAUGCCUCGGGGAGCUGUAAGUGAGCUGUGAUCCGAGGGUUUCCGAAUGGGGC
RNAcentral lists this ribosomal RNA (124 nucleotides) under Polycladospora coralii. Its description in RNAcentral is "partial 23S ribosomal RNA". It matches the Rfam family "Bacterial large subunit ribosomal RNA", at positions 1 to 124 of the family's 2925-position model. Lineage: Bacteria; Bacillati; Bacillota; Bacilli; Caryophanales; Thermoactinomycetaceae. The record is from RNAcentral.